RNAcentral lists this ribosomal RNA (48 nucleotides) under Phyllosticta vaccinii. Its description in RNAcentral is "partial 28S ribosomal RNA". The record is from RNAcentral. Lineage: Eukaryota; Fungi; Ascomycota; Dothideomycetes; Botryosphaeriales; Phyllostictaceae.
UUGACCUCGGAUCAGGUAGGGAUACCCGCUGAACUUAAGCAUAUCAGU